UGGGGAAUAUUGGACAAUGGGCGCAAGCCUGAUCCAGCAAUGCCGCGUGAGUGAUGAAGGCCUUAGGGUUGUAAAGCUCUUUCGCCCGCGACGAUGAUGACGGUAGCGGGAGAAGAAGCCCCGGCUAACUUCGUGCCAGCAGCCGCGGUAAUACGAAGGGGGCUAGCGUUGUUCGGAAUUACUGGGCGUAAAGGGCGCGCAGGCGGUCGCUCAAGUCAGGCGUGAAAGCCCCGGGCUCAACCUGGGAAUAGCGCUUGAGACUGAGCGACUUGAGUUCGGGAGAGGAGAGCGGAAUUCCCAGUGUAGAGGUGAAAUUCGUAGAUAUUGGGAAGAACACCGGUGGCGAAGGCGGCUCUCUGGACCGACACUGACGCUGAGGCGCGAAAGCGUGGGGAGCAAACAG
RNAcentral lists this ribosomal RNA (403 nucleotides) under uncultured bacterium. RNAcentral's name for it is "bacterial SSU rRNA". It matches the Rfam family "Bacterial small subunit ribosomal RNA", at positions 355 to 775 of the family's 1533-position model. The record is from RNAcentral.